This 515-nucleotide small RNA is filed under the name Sus scrofa (pig). Its description in RNAcentral is "partial non-coding RNA". The record is from RNAcentral. Lineage: Eukaryota; Metazoa; Chordata; Mammalia; Artiodactyla; Suidae.
GCACGAUUUUCAGUUGGCCCGCUUCCCCUCGUGAUUAGGACAGACGCGGGCACUCUGGCCCAGCCGUCUUGGCUCAGUAUCUGCAGGCGUCCGUCUCGGGACGGAGCUCAGGGGAAGAGCGUGACUCCAGUUGAACGUGAUAGUCGGUGCGUUGAGAGGAGACCCAGUCGGGUGUCGAGUCAGAAGGGGCCCGGGGCCCGAGGCCCUGGGCAGGACGGCCCGUGCCCUGCAUCACGGGCCCAGCGUCCUAGAGGCAGGACUCUGGUGGAGAGUGUGAGGGUGCCUGGGGCCCCUCCGGAGCUGGGGCCGUGCGGUGCAGGUUGGGCUCUCGGCGCGGUGUUGGCUGUUUCUGCGGGAUUUGGAGGAAUUCUUCCAGUGAUGGGAGUCGCCAGUGACCGGGCACCAGGCUGUGUCUGAAACCAGCCCCAAAAUCUUCCCACUGACUCUGGGGAGCAGCGAGCCUGCCGGAUAUGUGGUCAUCGCCUGCCUGGUCCGGGACUUCUUCCCGUCAGAGC